This 336-nucleotide ribosomal RNA is filed under the name Triticum aestivum (bread wheat). RNAcentral's name for it is "partial small subunit ribosomal RNA". The record is from RNAcentral. Lineage: Eukaryota; Viridiplantae; Streptophyta; Magnoliopsida; Poales; Poaceae.
AUGGAUGGCGCAAGGCUCCCUGAUGCCGAACUGGUACGGGAUGUCCAUGUCCCUGCACCUCGUCUGGCAGUCUGUUGCGCCCUAGCCACCCUUGGUGCAGCUCAUUUUGGCCCAUCGUCCGCCGCCACCAACAGGGCAAGGCAGAGCAGAAGAAAAGGUGGCCGGAGACCAACUAGAAGAUGCGUGCAGUUGGCCAUCGACACCUUCAACAACACCAGCGACAUGGCAGCAGCAGUAGGAUUCCAUGAAGUAAUAAGGCUGUACAUGAUUGAUGUGGACCGAAGAAAUUUGGAUCUGAAAAUAAGAAACGAAAUGGCUGGGCGUGGGAUGGAAUGA